GGGCGUAAAGAGCUCGUAGGUGGUUUGUCGCGUUGUUCGUGAAAUCUCACGGCUUAACUGUGAGCGUGCGGGCGAUACGGGCAGACUUGAGUACUGCAGGGGAGACUGGAAUUCCUGGUGUAGCGGUGGAAUGCGCAGAUAUCAGGAGGAACACCGGUGGCGAAGGCGGGUCUCUGGGCAGUAACUGACGCUGAGGAGCGAAAGCGUGGGGAGCGAACAGGAUUAGAUACCCUGGUAGUCCACGCCAUAAACGGUGGGUACUAGGUGUGGGUUUCCUUCCUUGGGAUCCGUGCCGUAGCUAACGCAUUAAGUACCCCGCCUGGGGAGUACGGCCGCAAGGCUAAAACUCAAAGAAAUUGACGGGGGCCCGCACAAGCGGCGGAGCAUGUGGAUUAAUUCGAUGCAACGCGAAGAACCUUACCUGGGUUUGACAUGCACAGGACGCCGGCAGAGAUGUCGGUUCCCUUGUGGCCUGUGUGCAGGUGGUGCAUGGCUGUCGUCAGCUCGUGUCGUGAGAUGUUGGGUUAAGUCCCGCAACGAGCGCAACCCUUGUCUCAUGUUGCCAGCGGGUAAUGCCGGGGACUCGUGAGAGACUGCCGGGGUCAACUCGGAGGAAGGUGGGGAUGACGUCAAGUCAUCAUGCCCCUUAUGUCCAGGGCUUCACACAUGCUACAAUGGCCGGUACAAAGGGCUGCGAUGCCGCGAGGUUAAGCGAAUCCUUUUAAAGCCGGUCUCAGUUCGGAUCGGGGUCUGCAACUCGACCCCGUGAAGUCGGAGUCGCUAGUAAUCGCAGAU
Molecule: ribosomal RNA, 795 nt
Filed under: uncultured Mycobacterium sp.
Lineage: Bacteria; Bacillati; Actinomycetota; Actinomycetes; Mycobacteriales; Mycobacteriaceae
Description: bacterial SSU rRNA
Rfam family: Bacterial small subunit ribosomal RNA
Source: RNAcentral